Molecule: non-coding RNA, 307 nt
Organism: Anas platyrhynchos (mallard)
Lineage: Eukaryota; Metazoa; Chordata; Aves; Anseriformes; Anatidae
Source: RefSeq, a predicted model, not a curated record
GGAACAGAUCCUAGCUAUUUCCAGCACAGAGCAUCUUGGAGUCAACAGUUGAAGAAAUGAAUUAGUACACCUCUUCCCUGUGCCUGAAAUUCAUUACUUUUCCUUAAUAAGGAAACUUAUAUUCCAGAGAAAAUUGGCCACUGAAAGCAGAAGACUGCCUAGAACCAAAGGCUAUUCAGCCGGGGAAAGCUAAUCAUUCAAGGUCCAAGCCACUUCAAUUUUGUCACGUGAAUUGCUGUAUCAUAUCUGUUUGAAGUCUGAAUCUGCACGUUUAUAAUUUUGUGGCUUCUUUGUGACACGUCCUUGG